This 1395-nucleotide long non-coding RNA is filed under the name Callithrix jacchus (white-tufted-ear marmoset). Its description in RNAcentral is "lncRNA (ENSCJAG00000077262.1)". The record is from RNAcentral. Lineage: Eukaryota; Metazoa; Chordata; Mammalia; Primates; Cebidae.
GUCGUAACAAAGUGCUCCUGUCUGAGCCGCUUAAACAACAGAAAUGAUUUUCCACAGUUCUGGAGGCUGGAAGCCUGAGAUGAAGGAUCUUGACAGUUUCGUUCUGUGGAAGGACAGUUUCAUCCUUCAGUCUGUGUGGUUCAUUCUUCUGUGUCCAGUCUCAAGCUGUGUAUUCCUGGAGGGAUACCACAGAAAUUACGGCAGUGAAUCAAAACUCACUUCGGUGUGCUUAUCAUUUUACACCAGGCGCAGUGGCUCAAGCCUGUAAUCCUAGCACUUUGGGAGGCUGAGGCAGGUGGAUCACGAGGUCAAGAGAUCGGGACCAUCCUGGUCAACAUGGUGAAACCCCGUCUCUACCAAAAACACAAAAAAUUAGCUGGGCAUGGUGGCGUGUGCCUGUAAUCCCAACUACUCGGGAGGCUGAGGGAGAAGAAUUGCCUGAACCCAGGAAGCGGAGGUUGCGGUGAGCCGAGAUCGCGCCAUUGCACUCCAGCCUGGGUAAACAAGAGCGAAACUCAGUCUCAAAAAAAAAAAAAAAAAAAGACAGUUUUGCAAGUUAAAUAUUAUUAUGCACAUUUUAUAGAUAAGUUAAACUCUAUUUGUUAUUUAUUCCUGUGUUACAAAUUACCACUAAACUUAGUGACUUAAAACAACAAAUAUUUAUUAUCAUCUUAGAGACAAGACAAGAGAUAAUGCAAUGCUGGCCUAGUCUGAAAGUGGCAAACUCAAGAUAUAUUUUGCUGGUAGUAUAAGCAGGACUUUUUGAGAGAGAUUAGAAAUGAAAUGGCUAGGAAAGAGACAGAGAAAAAACAUAAUUCCUAAGUCUGCCUUUAACAGCUAGGUGUUAUUUACUAAAAUGGAGAAGAAUGAAAUAAAAAUAGGUUGGGGAGAAGAGAGUUUUAUUUUAGACAUAUUAAGUUUGAAGCAUCUGUGAGAUAUAAAAUAGAGGCACUAAAGAUGAAAUAGGCAUUACAGCUGUGGUGUUCAGAGGAGAGACCUCUUCUAAACAUCACUCUACAUGAAAUAGUACAGUAAUUAGUGGCUAAGGCUUGGGUCCUCAAUCUCAAGGCAAUUUGAUAGUGAGCUAGCUAGUCUAGAUACAGGCAGGCUAGCAAGAGAUGGAAGAAAGGGCAGACUGGAAAGUUUCCUCCCAAUGUCUAGUUCAGAGCUAGCUCAGUUUCUUUUCUUAGACUUUAUAAGUACCAUCAGCACCAUCGGCAUUAUUGUUUGUGGAGGAUGGUGCAGGAGGAAUGCAUCUCUCAGGUAGUGGCAAAUUAACAUAAUGCAUCCAGAGAGAAGAGCAUCUGGAUUCCAAGAGCUGUCCAUCUGAGGGCGUCAGAGAGCAUCAGGACGAGGUUUACCCUACAACACAGUGAUGGAAGGUACUCCCAAGAA